This 394-nucleotide ribosomal RNA is filed under the name Cryptotermes cynocephalus. RNAcentral describes it as "partial large subunit ribosomal RNA". The record is from RNAcentral. Lineage: Eukaryota; Metazoa; Arthropoda; Insecta; Blattodea; Kalotermitidae.
CUCUUCUUGUUUGUUUAUUUGAAGUAUGGCCUGCCCACUGAUUUUAUUAAAGGGCCGCGGUAUUUUGACCGUGCAAAGGUAGCAUAAUCAUUAGUUCUUUAAUUGUGAGCUGGUAUGAAUGGUUUGACGAGAUAUUUACUGUCUUUGGUUUAAGAUUUAUUGAACUUAGUGUUUGGGUAAAAAUACCUAAAUUUUUUUAUGGGACGAGAAGACCCUAUAGAGUUUUAUAUAGUAAAUAUUCUCUUGGUUUGUUGUAUUUUAGAGUAUUUGUUGUAUUUUGUUGGGGUGAUGGGAGGAUAUAUGUAACUCUUCUUUUUUAUUUUCACUUAUUUGUGUUUUUGUGAUCCUUUAUUAUUGAUUAAAAGAUCAAACUACCUUAGGGAUAACAGCGUAA